UGCCGCGCGCCUGCGCCUGCCAAGAGGAAGGCGGGGGGAGAGCCGGGCUUCGAGAACGUCGCCGUGGAGGUGGUGGAGACAUAUAGGAGUUAUCGUAGGCGAAUAUCCCAACUGCAGGGUGGAAAGCCUUCAUCAAUCCUUGGGAAACCUGGGACUUCAUUUAUAGGGGACACGGGUUCGAGGCCUGGUCUGGGAAGAUCCCACAUGCCGCGGAGCAACUGGGCCUGUGAGCCACAACUACUGAGCCUGCGCGUCUGGAGCCUGUGCUCCGCAACAAGAGAGGCCGCGACAGUGAGAGGCCCGCGCAUCGCAAUGAAGAGGGGCCCCCGCUUGCCGCAACUAAAGAAGGCCCUCGCACAGAAACGAAGAC
Long non-coding RNA from Eubalaena glacialis (North Atlantic right whale), 370 nucleotides. RefSeq lists it as uncharacterized. The transcript is spliced from 3 exons. Lineage: Eukaryota; Metazoa; Chordata; Mammalia; Artiodactyla; Balaenidae. The record is from RefSeq and is a predicted model, not a curated record.